RNAcentral lists this ribosomal RNA (253 nucleotides) under uncultured bacterium. RNAcentral describes it as "partial 16S ribosomal RNA". It matches the Rfam family "Bacterial small subunit ribosomal RNA", at positions 524 to 776 of the family's 1533-position model. The record is from RNAcentral.
UACGGAGGGCUCAAGCGUUGUUCGGAUUUAUUGGGCGUAAAGGGUGCGUAGGCGGUUCGGUAAGUCGGGUGUGAAAUUUCGAGGCUUAACUUCGAAACUGCAUUCGAUACUGCCGUGCUUGAGGACUGGAGAGGAGACUGGAAUUUACGGUGUAGCGGUGAAAUGCGUAGAUAUCGUAAGGAAGACCAGUGGCGAAGGCGGGGCUCUGGACAGUUCCUGACGCUGAGGCACGAAGGCCAGGGGAGCAAACGGG